This 253-nucleotide ribosomal RNA is filed under the name uncultured bacterium. Its description in RNAcentral is "partial 16S ribosomal RNA". It matches the Rfam family "Bacterial small subunit ribosomal RNA", at positions 524 to 776 of the family's 1533-position model. The record is from RNAcentral.
UACAGAGGGUGCGAGCGUUAAUCGGAAUUACUGGGCGUAAAGCGCACGUAGGUGGCUUUGCAAGUCGAUUGUGAAAUCCCCGGGCUUAACCUGGGAACUGCAGUCGAGACUGCUCUGCUUGAGUACGGGAGAGGGAGGUGGAAUUUCCGGUGUAGCGGUGAAAUGCGCAGAUAUCAGGAAGAACACCAAUGGCGAAAGCAGCUCUCUGGGACGGUACUGACGCUGAGACGCGAAAGCGUGGGGAGCGAACAGG